CUGAUGCAGCGACGCCGCGUGAGGGAUGACGGCCUUCGGGUUGUAAACCUCUUUCGACAGGGACGAAGCGCAAGUGACGGUACCUGUAGAAGAAGCACCGGCCAACUACGUGCCAGCAGCCGCGGUAAUACGUAGGGUGCGAGCGUUGUCCGGAAUUACUGGGCGUAAAGAGCUUGUAGGCGGCUUGUCGCGUCGAUCGUGAAAACUUGGGGCUCAACCCCAAGCUUGCGGUCGAUACGGGCAGGCUUGAGUACUUCAGGGGAGACUGGAAUUCCUGGUGUAGCGGUGAAAUGCGCAGAUAUCAGGAGGAACACCGGUGGCGAAGGCGGGUCUCUGGGAAGUAACUGACGCUGAGAAGCGAAAGCGUGGGUAGCGAACAGGAUUAGAUACCCUGGUAGUCCACGCCGUAAACGGUGGGUACUAGGUGUGGGUUUCCUUCCACGGGAUCCGUGCCGUAGCUAACGCAUUAAGUACCCCGCCUGG
This 483-nucleotide ribosomal RNA is filed under the name Nocardia cyriacigeorgica. RNAcentral's name for it is "bacterial SSU rRNA". It matches the Rfam family "Bacterial small subunit ribosomal RNA", at positions 383 to 876 of the family's 1533-position model. Lineage: Bacteria; Bacillati; Actinomycetota; Actinomycetes; Mycobacteriales; Nocardiaceae. The record is from RNAcentral.